GUGCCAGCAGCCGCGGUAAUACGUAGGUGGCAAGCGUUAUCCGGAAUUAUUGGGCGUAAAGCGCGCGUAGGCGGUUUUUUAAGUCUGAUGUGAAAGCCCACGGCUCAACCGUGGGGGGUCAUUGGAAACUGGAAAACUUGAGUGCAGAAGAGGAAAGUGGAAUUCCAUGUGUAGCGGUGAAAUGCGCAGAGAUAUGGAGGAACACCAGUGGCGAAGGCGACUUUCUGGUCUGUAACUGACGCUGAUGUGCGAAAGCGUGGGGAUCAAACAGGAUUAGAUAC
RNAcentral lists this ribosomal RNA (281 nucleotides) under uncultured Staphylococcus sp. RNAcentral describes it as "partial 16S ribosomal RNA". It matches the Rfam family "Bacterial small subunit ribosomal RNA", at positions 505 to 785 of the family's 1533-position model. Lineage: Bacteria; Bacillati; Bacillota; Bacilli; Caryophanales; Staphylococcaceae. The record is from RNAcentral.